Cyprinodon tularosa is the source of this 648-nucleotide long non-coding RNA. RefSeq lists it as uncharacterized. The record is from RefSeq and is a predicted model, not a curated record. The transcript has 3 exons. Lineage: Eukaryota; Metazoa; Chordata; Actinopteri; Cyprinodontiformes; Cyprinodontidae.
AGGUUAAAGGUUGGGAUUUUGGCAAACACAGAACAGAAACAGUGAGAGGCUUUGAAGGAAGGAAAAUUCUUGCUCCUUGUUAUGAAUUUCAGCGCUCUCAUUGACAUUUGUUGAACAAUGAAGCCCUUUCUUGUAUUGACAGCCUUUACGGAACGUUUGCAUCUGAAAAGAACAUCUGUCGGAAUGAUUGUACACACAAAAAAGCUUCAGAGGAAACUACAAAAGACACUGUCGUCUUACACCGACGGGGAUGACUGGUCAGUUGGUUUUAAAUCCAGCUUAGACACCGUCCCUAAUGCCUGACUGCUCUCUGGCUCCAGCGUCUGCACAGUGAGCUGCUCUGUGGCAACACAUCUACUGAAGAGGGAACCUGAGCCACCACCCUCCAUGUGCAUUCAGCUUACAGUGCACAACUUGUUUUCCAGAUCAGGCUACCACAGCUCUACUGGCCCUCAGGAUGUGGAGGGAAGGGCUGCUGCCAGAUCCCUUAAUGCUUCUGCGUCCUCCUCAUAAAACCCCUUUAUAGAACCUCUGAAAUUGUCACCUGUCCAGUAGCUAACAGGAACCACCGUCUUUGCUCAUUUAAACCAGUUGAUUCUGCAUGACAGCUUCAGCUCUGCAACCAUCUGUGUAUGCAGGCCACGGCGA